GGCACAAAUUUGAAGUAGAGUAGAUUAUUAGUAUCAACUGACCCUACCAAUCCACUCUACUUUGAGUUUGUGCCC
Haemonchus contortus (barber pole worm) is the source of this 75-nucleotide non-coding RNA. Lineage: Eukaryota; Metazoa; Nematoda; Chromadorea; Rhabditida; Trichostrongylidae. The record is from Rfam.